UAAUACGGAGGGGGCAAGCGUUGUUCGGAAUUACUGGGCGUAAAGCGCGCGUAGGUGGUUUGUCAAGUUGGGGGUGAAAUCCCGGGGCUCAACUCCGGAACUGCCCUCAAAACUGGUAGGCUAGAGUGUGGGAGAGGAGAGCGGAAUUCCCAGUGUAGAGGUGAAAUUCGUAGAUAUUGGGAAGAACACCAGUGGCGAAGGCGGCUUUCUGGACCACAACUGACGCUGAGGCGCGAAAGCGUGGGUAGCAAACAGGACUAGAUACCCUGGUAGUCCACGCCGUAAACGAUGAGUGCUAGACGUUGGGGGGCUUGCCCUUCAGUGUCGGAGCUAACGCAUUAAGCACUCCGCCUGGGGAGUACGGCCGCAAGGUUA
Molecule: ribosomal RNA, 375 nt
Filed under: uncultured Alphaproteobacteria bacterium
Lineage: Bacteria; Pseudomonadati; Pseudomonadota; Alphaproteobacteria
Description: bacterial SSU rRNA
Rfam family: Bacterial small subunit ribosomal RNA
Source: RNAcentral